This 1372-nucleotide ribosomal RNA is filed under the name uncultured bacterium. RNAcentral's name for it is "bacterial SSU rRNA". It matches the Rfam family "Bacterial small subunit ribosomal RNA", at positions 28 to 1381 of the family's 1533-position model. The record is from RNAcentral.
GAUGAACGCUGGCGGCGUGCCUAAUACAUGCAAGUCGAGCGAACAGAUAAGGAGCUUGCUCCUUUGAAGUUAGCGGCGGACGGGUGAGUAACACGUGGGUAACCUACCUAUAAGACUGGGAUAACUUCGGGAAACCGGAGCUAAUACCGGAUAACAUUUGGAACCGCAUGGUUCUGAAGUGAAAGAUGGUUUUGCUAUCACUUAUAGAUGGACCCGCGCCGUAUUAGCUAGUUGGUAAGGUAACGGCUUACCAAGGCGACGAUACGUAGCCGACCUGAGAGGGUGAUCGGCCACACUGGAACUGAGACACGGUCCAGACUCCUACGGGAGGCAGCAGUAGGGAAUCUUCCGCAAUGGGCGAAAGCCUGACGGAGCAACGCCGCGUGAGUGAUGAAGGGUUUCGGCUCGUAAAACUCUGUUAUUAGGGAAGAACAAAUGUGUAAGUAACUGUGCACAUCUUGACGGUACCUAAUCAGAAAGCCACGGCUAACUACGUGCCAGCAGCCGCGGUAAUACGUAGGUGGCAAGCGUUAUCCGGAAUUAUUGGGCGUAAAGCGCGCGUAGGCGGUUUCUUAAGUCUGAUGUGAAAGCCCACGGCUCAACCGUGGAGGGUCAUUGGAAACUGGGAAACUUGAGUGCAGAAGAGAAAAGUGGAAUUCCAUGUGUAGCGGUGAAAUGCGCAGAGAUAUGGAGGAACACCAGUGGCGAAGGCGACUUUCUGGUCUGUAACUGACGCUGAUGUGCGAAAGCGUGGGGAUCAAACAGGAUUAGAUACCCUGGUAGUCCACGCCGUAAACGAUGAGUGCUAAGUGUUAGGGGGUUUCCGCCCCUUAGUGCUGCAGCUAACGCAUUAAGCACUCCGCCUGGGGAGUACGACCGCAAGGUUGAAACUCAAAGGAAUUGACGGGGACCCGCACAAGCGGUGGAGCAUGUGGUUUAAUUCGAAGCAACGCGAAGAACCUUACCAAAUCUUGACAUCCUUUGAAAACUCUAGAGAUAGAGCCUUCCCCUUCGGGGGACAAAGUGACAGGUGGUGCAUGGUUGUCGUCAGCUCGUGUCGUGAGAUGUUGGGUUAAGUCCCGCAACGAGCGCAACCCUUAAGCUUAGUUGCCAUCAUUAAGUUGGGCACUCUAGGUUGACUGCCGGUGACAAACCGGAGGAAGGUGGGGAUGACGUCAAAUCAUCAUGCCCCUUAUGAUUUGGGCUACACACGUGCUACAAUGGACAAUACAAAGGGCAGCUAAACCGCGAGGUCAUGCAAAUCCCAUAAAGUUGUUCUCAGUUCGGAUUGUAGUCUGCAACUCGACUACAUGAAGCUGGAAUCGCUAGUAAUCGUAGAUCAGCAUGCUACGGUGAAUACGUUCCCGGGUCU